GAAGCACGCCAGACCGCCGCUGGUGCAAGCUGGGAAACCAGGCACUGGAGGAAGGUCCGGACUGCACAGGACGGCGUAGCAGCUAACGGCUGUCCACCGUGAGGUGAGGAUCAGAGCAACAGAGACGAGUCUGGGUGCGCAGCACCCGGGGUGAAACGGGCAAUCUCUACGCGCAGCAAUACCAAGUAGGCCAGUCUGAAGCCCUCGCGGCUUCGCCCUGUGGUUCCGCAGGGAGCGCUGGCGGGUAGGUAGCACCGAGCCGUGGUGGCGACACCCGGCCCAGAUGAAUGGCGGUCAGCUUCGGGCGACCGAAGCCACAGAAUCCGGCCUAUCGGCGUGCUUCACUU
RNAcentral lists this RNase P RNA (347 nucleotides) under Burkholderiaceae bacterium. Its description in RNAcentral is "RNase P RNA component class A". It matches the Rfam family "Bacterial RNase P class A". From Rfam's summary of the family: Ribonuclease P (RNase P) is a ubiquitous endoribonuclease, found in archaea, bacteria and eukarya as well as chloroplasts and mitochondria. Its best characterised activity is the generation of mature 5'-ends of tRNAs by cleaving the 5'-leader elements of precursor-tRNAs. Cellular RNase Ps are ribonucleoproteins. Lineage: Bacteria; Pseudomonadati; Pseudomonadota; Betaproteobacteria; Burkholderiales; Burkholderiaceae. The record is from RNAcentral.